CACAUAUUUAUUACAUCAGACUUUAUUAUCAUUUGGUGGUUGUUUUCAUAGACCAGAAACAAAACAGCUUGUAAAAAACAAAAACAACAGAAAAUAAAACAAGUGCAGAGUUCAGGCGAGGACAACUGCAUAUAUUUCUUGAACAAGCUCGGGGUAACAAAGAGAAUAAAUAAAAGAGCAGUAGAGUUGAGAAUGCUGACAGCAACAUGCACAAACAGCACAAAUGUACACAGCUACUUGUCAUGUUGCGGCUACACAGUUUUACCCACAAUUCCAUAGAACAUUUGGUUAGGACCAAUCAAAUGAAUCAAUAAAUAACUGAAUGAGCUAUUGUUGAUUUUGCAGAUGAAGAGUUGGAGCAAGUGUCAAGGAGGAGACAAUCAGUUUGUAUCAACCCACAAUGUGCUAUAGUCUAUACUAACUGGGGUUAAGUCUCACUCCAAUAUGUACAAUACAACUUCUUACAGUUCUACAAUACAAGUGACCACUGGGCUGUACAAGCUACUCCCUCAGCUCUGGUAAUAAUUCUUCACAUAAUUAACAAUAGAAAUUAUGAUUCACACAAUGAAUUAUACUAUUCAAUCAUGAUAUAAAACACGACCAAUUAGUAAACCUUUUAGUUUUCAACGAUAAGCCUCUCUUUUUGUUAUUCCUUAUUUCAGCUCUAGAAAAGUUCUUUUUCAAUACAGUUGCUGUAGUUCACCCAUAUCUUUGUGUUCAUAAACUCUUUAGAGUGUGGAAGGUACAAAGAAGUUGAAUUAAAAAUAAAUUAUCAUUAAUGCUGUUAUAAAAGGAUACAUGACAAAAUCCACAUAAAAUUGCCAAUGGUGCAGAACUAAAAAAAAAAUAAUAAAAAAAUUCAUAACUAACAGAUCCUCAUCAUCCUCUGUCCAUAAGAGAAAUUAGUAAAAAUAUGUUUUGCUAAAAGUUAUCUACUUUGUCUGCCACAACAAAUGAUUUCAACAGUUGAGAAGAAGUGUGUACACUAACAAAUCAUAGGACUUUAAAUAGUUUCUAGAUGUGAACAAUUUUGACUGAGUUACAGAUCUAUAGCUGACAAAAAAACAACAACAAUGGUGUAAGUUUCAUAAAAAAAAAAGAAGGAAAGUGUCUUUUUAUCACAAUAGUAAAGUUAGUCAUCGUUAUAAUGUAGUCAAACAUAUUAAAAAUGAAAACAUUCAUAUUUACAAUGAGAACAAUUAUAAUUAAAGUGGAGUCAGACAAAUGUUAUCAUAUUUAUACAUAGUGAAUAUAGUCAUAGUGAAACAAUAUUUGAAUGAGGUCUUUGUCAUAGUGAAGACAUUUGGUUUGAACAAAACAAAGCCAAGUCAUGAGCAGCAGCCACAGUGAGUGAAAAAUUCAGAACAAUAACAAAAGUUUUUGUUUCACAUGUUUUGAAUGUUCCUUUAGAAUUGAAGAGUAUUAUGUCCUAGCACAAACCUUCUGCAAUAUAGGGGGAGAUGGCAGCUGGCAGGGUGUUGAACCUGGGACUAUCAAGGUGACAGUCUAGAGCACAUACCAAAUAUCCAGGCUGCCAUCAGACUAGAAAUAUGUAAACAAGACUUGACUUAUUGUUUACAAUUUUUAACACUAGUUUACCUAUCAAAAUUGGUUAUAAGCUGAAUAGUAAUGUAGGUGGGGGGGGGGGGGG
Molecule: non-coding RNA, 1651 nt
Organism: Biomphalaria pfeifferi
Lineage: Eukaryota; Metazoa; Mollusca; Gastropoda; Planorbidae
Source: the annotation of a GenBank genome assembly